GAAAUGCGAUAAGUAAUGUGAAUUGCAGAAUUCAGUGAAUCAUCGAAUCUUUGAACGCACCUUGCGCUCCUUGGUAUUCCUUGGAGCAUGCCUGUUUGAGUAUCAUGAAAUCUUCAAAGUAAAUCUUUUGUUAACUCAAUUGGUUUCUACUUUGGUAUUGGAGGUCUUUGCAGCUUCACACCUGCUCCUCUUUGUUCAUUAGCUGGAUCUCAGUGUUAUGCUUGGUUCGACUCGGCGUGAUAAGUUAUCUAUCGCUGAGGACACUGUAAAAGGUGGCCAAGGUAAAUGCAGAUGAACCGCUUCUAAUAGUCCAUUGACUUGGACAAUACUUUUAUGAUCUGAUCUCAAAUCAGGUAGGACUACCCGCUGAACUUAAGC
RNAcentral lists this unclassified non-coding RNA (378 nucleotides) under plant metagenome. RNAcentral's name for it is "partial contains 5.8S ribosomal RNA, internal transcribed spacer 2, and large subunit ribosomal RNA". The stretch from base 1 to 105 matches the Rfam family "5.8S ribosomal RNA", at positions 50 to 154 of the family's 154-position model. The record is from RNAcentral.